GCCAGGUGUGGUGGCAUACUCCUAUAAUCCCUGUUACUGGGAGACUGAAGCAGAGGGUUUGCAAGUUGGAGGCCAACUUGCGCAACUUUGCAAGACUCUGUCUCAA
This 106-nucleotide small RNA is filed under the name Marmota monax (woodchuck). Lineage: Eukaryota; Metazoa; Chordata; Mammalia; Rodentia; Sciuridae. The record is from RNAcentral.